RNAcentral lists this long non-coding RNA (687 nucleotides) under Chloebia gouldiae (Gouldian finch). RNAcentral describes it as "Erythrura gouldiae (Gouldian finch) lncRNA (ENSEGOG00005000531.1)". Lineage: Eukaryota; Metazoa; Chordata; Aves; Passeriformes; Passeridae. The record is from RNAcentral.
ACUGAGCCAAAUGUUUAGUCUUCAGCUGAACUACUGCCAGUGAGCUGCGCUGCAUUCUGGGACCACAGAGCCUCGAGGUACCGUGUUAAACUAUCUCACAUAAGGAUGUGCAGUGAGCUGGACUUCAUAUUCAAUCACCCAAAAGAAAAGUGAAGGAGAAAGCCUACUUUUGCCUGAGCUGGCGUGUUGUGUUGGAUUUGUGAAGUGAGGCAUCUGAAGCAGGCCUUGAAAAACAACCUGAGAACAUGGCUUUGGCAUCGGGGUGAAGUCUGAGCAGACCUCUUACAUUUUUGUUGGCUGCUAACGUACUAAGCGUUUUUUGGCAGCAUGCGGUUCUGGAUUGAAGCCAUGCAUGCAAGUCUUCCACAUUGUGCUCUUUUCCCAGCAUGUUCUCCAGGACAUUGGAAGAAGAGAAAAGCUGAAUCAGUUUGGAAAAACAUAAAUAUUUCUGAAAGUGUGGACACUUCUCACUUUUCAAGUGUGGGAGGAAUAUUUCGCUGCCCCCUUACCCAUCACUCAAAUGUCCCAAUCAGGUUAUUUAAAUAAAUUAUCCUUAAGAAUAAUUAUCUGAGAAUAAUUCUUUUCCUGUCUCAAAAAGCACAUCUAGUACCAUAUAAGCUUUUUUACCUAUGUUGUUUACAAGCAGGCUGAUUUCAAUAAAUAAACUGAAUGAUGCCUAAAUCCUCA